RNAcentral lists this ribosomal RNA (486 nucleotides) under uncultured bacterium. RNAcentral describes it as "partial 16S ribosomal RNA". It matches the Rfam family "Bacterial small subunit ribosomal RNA", at positions 899 to 1397 of the family's 1533-position model. The record is from RNAcentral.
ACUCAAAUGAAUUGACGGGGACCCACACAAGCGGUGGAGCAUGUGGUUUAAUUCGAUAAUAAACGAGAAACCUUACCCAGGCUUGACAUCUCCGGAACCCUGAAGAAAUUUGGGGGUGCCGUAAGGAACCGGAUGACAGGUGCUGCAUGGUCGUCGUCAGCUCGUGCCUUGAGGUGUUCGGUUAAGUCCGUAAACGAGCGCAACCCAUGUCAUAUGUUGUAUUUCUCAUAUGAGACUGCCGGCUCUAAGUCGGAGGAAGGUAUGGAUGACGUCAGAUCAGCAUGGCCCUUAUGCCUGGGGCCACACACGUGCUACAAUGGCCGGUACAAAGAGAAGCAAACCCGAAAGGGGAAGCAAAUCUCAUCAAAGCCGGUCUCAGUUCGGAUUGGGGGCUGCAACUCGACCCCAUGAAGUUGGAAUCGCUAGUAACCGUAGAUCAGCCAUGCUACGGUGAAUAUGUUCCUGGGUCUUGUACACACCGCCCGU